Molecule: transfer RNA, 58 nt
Filed under: Apaloderma vittatum (bar-tailed trogon)
Lineage: Eukaryota; Metazoa; Chordata; Aves; Trogoniformes; Trogonidae
Rfam family: tRNA
About the family: Transfer RNA (tRNA) molecules are approximately 80 nucleotides in length. Their secondary structure includes four short double-helical elements and three loops (D, anti-codon, and T loops). Further hydrogen bonds mediate the characteristic L-shaped molecular structure. tRNAs have two regions of fundamental functional importance: the anti-codon, which is responsible for specific mRNA codon recognition, and the 3' end, to which the tRNAs corresponding amino acid is attached (by aminoacyl-tRNA synthetases). tRNAs cope with the degeneracy of the genetic code in two manners: having more than one tRNA (with a specific anti-codon) for a particular amino acid; and 'wobble' base-pairing, i.e. permitting non-standard base-pairing at the 3rd anti-codon position.
Source: Rfam by way of RNAcentral
UAGCUCAAUCAGUAGAGCGUGGCGCUAUCAACGCUAAGGUCGCGGGUUCGAUUCCCGU